Molecule: long non-coding RNA, 453 nt
Organism: Cydia splendana
Lineage: Eukaryota; Metazoa; Arthropoda; Insecta; Lepidoptera; Tortricidae
Exons: 2
Source: RefSeq, a predicted model, not a curated record
UUUGGACUUGUUUCUUCGAAACUAGUUAGCCAGGAGGCAGGAUACUUUGAUCAACCUACAGCUAAGAAGAUUACCUUAACUACAAAGCGGUUUGCUCUAGCAGUCGGAAAUUCGGAGGUUGUGUGACGAAUCAGGAAUACUGCUCCAUGUGGAAUGCAGCAUGCCGUUCAACAACAUGUCCCUACCUUUAGCGAAUACAAAUGGUGCAUGUUUCAGUAGAACUUUAAAAAAAAUGCUAUGCAAAGAUAGCUGAAAUUGAGGUAGGUUCUAAGACCAAUUUCCUCAAAUUUCAAAAAAAUAAAACAAAAUAAUAUGAACAUUUAAGUUCUAUAAAAUAGUUCUAUUUAGAACCGAAUAAGUCAAAAUCAAAAACAUUUAGAGCGUCUCGUCUAUCAUACUAAGUCUCCGGAAUGAAAAGUUCGAGUUGGUUUGACAAAUGAAAAUGAAUAAAUA